AUGCAAAGGAGCACAAAUAUUUUGCUUAUCUGGUCUCGAUAAUGAUGAGAUGUAUUUCAAUCAUGAGAUUGCCAAGCUGGCAGCAUAUAUAUCCACCAUGGAAUUCCAUUCUUUGUUAUGGAGGGCUGCACGACCUUAUCUGUUGGUGGAUUACUUUGAAGAUGUCACUCAAGAGACGGUCCAAUUGGAUGAUGAAAAUUGCUCAAGAAAAAUCAUCCUAAAAGGUUACCUUCGAGGUUGUUACAUCGAGGAAACAACUAAGGUGCAUAUUGCUGGAGUUGGCGAUUUU
Long non-coding RNA from Papaver somniferum (opium poppy), 289 nucleotides. RefSeq lists it as uncharacterized. The record is from RefSeq and is a predicted model, not a curated record. The transcript is spliced from 3 exons. NCBI's taxonomy places the organism in Eukaryota, Viridiplantae, Streptophyta, Magnoliopsida, Ranunculales, Papaveraceae.